RNAcentral lists this unclassified non-coding RNA (384 nucleotides) under Hevea brasiliensis (rubber tree). The record is from RNAcentral. Lineage: Eukaryota; Viridiplantae; Streptophyta; Magnoliopsida; Malpighiales; Euphorbiaceae.
AGUCAUGGUAAGCUAGUUCAGUCUAUUGUUUUUUUUUCCCUACACAAUCUUGGUUUGAAAAUUCAUUUGUUCUUGCGAAGUAACUUGCCUUUUCCUGCAAUUCUGCAGUAGAACCAUGGUCUGACAUGCUCCAUAUAUAUUAUUUUGUGUACCUAAAUUUUCUAUAUGGAAAUUUUCUUGCUUUGUCUGACUCUGGACACCAUGGAGGUGCCCUUAGUUUGUUGCGGAUGGCAUGAACUGGGGGUUUUGGAUUCGUUUGUCGCAGACCAAUUCUGUAAACUUCUCAAUAGAUAUAAUCUUGUAGACUAUUUCCUUUGUCACCAAAAUAUUUUUCAAAAACAGUUGGUGAAAUUCUAAGCCUAGUGUACAUCCAUUAGCUAGAUA